Molecule: transfer RNA, 79 nt
Filed under: Anguilla anguilla (European eel)
Lineage: Eukaryota; Metazoa; Chordata; Actinopteri; Anguilliformes; Anguillidae
Description: tRNA-OTHER
Source: RNAcentral
GGCAGUGUGGCAUAGUGGUUAGGGAACUGGGCUUAUAACACAAAGGUUGCAGGUUCAAUUCCCAGGUAGGUCACUGCUG